This 622-nucleotide ribosomal RNA is filed under the name Myrothecium inundatum. RNAcentral's name for it is "eukaryotic LSU rRNA". It matches the Rfam family "Eukaryotic large subunit ribosomal RNA", at positions 1 to 648 of the family's 3401-position model. Lineage: Eukaryota; Fungi; Ascomycota; Sordariomycetes; Hypocreales; Stachybotryaceae. The record is from RNAcentral.
GUUGACCUCGGAUCAGGUAGGAAUACCCGCUGAACUUAAGCAUAUCAAUAAGCGGAGGAAAAGAAACCAACAGGGAUUGCCUCAGUAACGGCGAGUGAAGCGGCAACAGCUCAAAUUUGAAAUCUGGCCCCAGGCCCGAGUUGUAAUUUGCAGAGGAUGCUUUUGGUGAGGUGCCUUCCGAGUUCCCUGGAACGGGACGCCAUAGAGGGUGAGAGCCCCGUCUGGUCGGACACCGAGCCUCUGUAAAGCUCCUUCGACGAGUCGAGUAGUUUGGGAAUGCUGCUCUAAAUGGGAGGUAUAUGUCUUCUAAAGCUAAAUACCGGCCAGAGACCGAUAGCGCACAAGUAGAGUGAUCGAAAGAUGAAAAGCACUUUGAAAAGAGAGUUAAAUAGCACGUGAAAUUGUUGAAAGGGAAGCGUUUAUGACCAGACUUGGCCCGGUUGAUCAUCCAGCGUUCUCGCUGGUGCACUCUGCCGGUCCAGGCCAGCAUCAGUUCGUCGCGGGGGACAAAGGCUUCGGGAAUGUGGCUCCUCCGGGAGUGUUAAAGCCCGUUGCGUAAUACCCUGCGGUGGACUGAGGUCCGCGCUUCUGCAAGGAUGCUGGCGUAAUGGUCAUCAACGAC